Molecule: ribosomal RNA, 405 nt
Filed under: uncultured Propioniciclava sp.
Lineage: Bacteria; Bacillati; Actinomycetota; Actinomycetes; Propionibacteriales; Propionibacteriaceae
Description: bacterial SSU rRNA
Rfam family: Bacterial small subunit ribosomal RNA
Source: RNAcentral
UGGGGAAUAUUGCACAAUGGGCGGAAGCCUGAUGCAGCAACGCCGCGUGCGGGAUGACGGCCUUCGGGUUGUAAACCGCUUUCACCAGGGGCGAAUUUGGACGGUACCUGGGGAAGAAGCACCGGCUAACUACGUGCCAGCAGCCGCGGUGAUACGUAGGGUGCGAGCGUUGUCCGGAUUUAUUGGGCGUAAAGGGCUCGUAGGUGGUUUGUUGCGUCGGAAGUGAAAACCUGCAGCUUAACUGUGGGCUUGCUUUCGAUACGGGCAGACUUGAGGAAGGUAGGGGAGAACGGAAUUCCUGGUGGAGCGGUGGAAUGCGCAGAUAUCAGGAGGAACACCGGUGGCGAAGGCGGUUCUCUGGACCUUUCCUGACGCUGAGGAGCGAAAGCGUGGGGAGCAAACAGG